ACGGCUCAGUAACACGUGGACAACCUGCCCUUAGGUUGGGUAUAAACCCGGGAAACUGGGUAUAAUACCCGAUAGGUCUCGAUUGCUGGAAUGCAUCGAGAUUUAAAGCUCCGGCGCCUAAGGAUGGGUCUGCGGCCUAUCAGGUAGUAGUGGGUGUAGCGUACCUACUAGCCUACGACGGGUACGGGUUGUGAGAGCAAGAGCCCGGAGAUGGAUUCUGAGACACGAAUCCAGGCCCUACGGGGUGCAGCAGGCGCGAAAACUUUACAAUGCUGGCAACAGCGAUAAGGGAACCUCGAGUGCCAGGUUACAAAUCUGGCUGUCGAGAUGCCUGAAAAGCAUUUCAUAGCAAGGGCCGGGCAAGACCGGUGCCAGCCGCCGCGGUAACACCGGCGGCUCGAGUGGUAACCGUUAUUAUUGGGUCUAAAGGGUCUGUAGCCGGCCGGAUAAGUCUCUUGAGAAAUCUGGCAGCUUAACUGUCAGGCUUUCAGGAGAUACUGUCUGGCUCGAGGCCGGGAGAGGUGAGAGGUACUUCAGGGGUAGGGGUGAAAUCUUGUAAUCCUUGAAGGACCACCAGUGGCGAAGGCGUCUCACCAGAACGGACCUGACGGCAAGGGACGAAAGCUAGGGGCACGAACCGGAUUAGAUACCCGGGUAGUCCUAGCCGUAAACGAUACUCGCUAGGUGUCGGCCACGGUGCGACCGUUGUCGGUGCCGUAGGGAAGCCGUGAAGCGAGCCACCUGGGAAGUACGGCCGCAAGGCUGAAACUUAAAGGAAUUGGCGGGGGAGCAC
Molecule: ribosomal RNA, 793 nt
Filed under: Methanosaeta sp. enrichment culture clone A1481
Lineage: Archaea; Methanobacteriati; Methanobacteriota; Methanomicrobia; Methanotrichales; Methanotrichaceae
Description: bacterial SSU rRNA
Rfam family: Archaeal small subunit ribosomal RNA
Source: RNAcentral